RNAcentral lists this ribosomal RNA (213 nucleotides) under uncultured bacterium. Its description in RNAcentral is "partial 16S ribosomal RNA". It matches the Rfam family "Bacterial small subunit ribosomal RNA", at positions 118 to 334 of the family's 1533-position model. The record is from RNAcentral.
UGGGUGACCUGCCUUCGAGUGGGGAAUAACGCUGGGAAACCAGCGCUAAUACCGCAUACGCUCCGCACUGCAUUGUGCGGAGGAAGGCUUGAUGUGCUCGAAGAGGGGCCUGCGGCGGAUUAGCUAGUCGGUGGGGUAACGGCUUACCGAGGCGACGAUCCGUAGCUGGUCUGAGAGGAUGACCAGCCACACUGGGACUGAGACACGGCCCAG